RNAcentral lists this ribosomal RNA (392 nucleotides) under uncultured bacterium. RNAcentral describes it as "bacterial SSU rRNA". It matches the Rfam family "Bacterial small subunit ribosomal RNA", at positions 28 to 416 of the family's 1533-position model. The record is from RNAcentral.
AACGAACGCUGGCGGCAUGCCUAACACAUGCAAGUCGAACGAGAUCCUGGCUUCGGCCUGGGUCUAGUGGCGCACGGGUGAGUAGCGCGUGGGAACCUGCCCUUCAGUGGGGGAUAACCGAUGGAAACGUCGGCUAAUACCGCAUACGUCCGGGGCCUGGUCUUAGGAUUGGGCUUUGGGGAAAGAUUUAUCGCUGAAGGAGGGGCCCGCGUCGGAUUAGGUAGUUGGUGGGGUAACGGCCUACCAAGCCNGUGAUCCGUAGCUGGCCUGAGAGGAUGAUCAGCCACACUGGGACUGAGACACGGCCCAGACUCCUACGGGAGGCAGCAGUGGGGAAUAUUGGACAAUGGGCGCAAGCCUGAUCCAGCAAUGCCGCGUGAGUGAUGAAGGCC